Molecule: ribosomal RNA, 301 nt
Filed under: uncultured bacterium
Lineage: Bacteria
Description: partial 16S ribosomal RNA
Rfam family: Bacterial small subunit ribosomal RNA
Source: RNAcentral
CAGCAGCCGCGGGAAUACGAAGGGUGCAAGCGUUACUCGGAAUUACUGGGCGUAAAGCGUGCGUAGGUGGUGGUUUAAGUCCGUUGUGAAAGCCCUGGGCUCAACCUGGGAAUUGCAGUGGAUACUGGGUCACUAGAGUGUGGUAGAGGAUAGUGGAAUUACCGGUGUAGCAGUGAAAUGCGUAGAGAUCGGAAGGAACAUCUGUGGCGAAGGCGACUAUCUGGGCCAACACUGACACUGAGGCACGAAAGCGUGGGGAGCAAACAGGAUUAGAUACCCGGGUAGUCCCUGUCUCUUAUAC